UGCAGUCGAGCGGUAACAGAUCCAGCUUGCUGGAUGCUGACGAGCGGCGGACGGGUGAGUAAUGCAUAGGAAUCUGCCCGAUAGUGGGGGAUAACCUGGGGAAACCCAGGCUAAUACCGCAUACGUCCUACGGGAGAAAGGGGGCUCCGGCUCCCGCUAUGGGAUGAGCCUAUGUCGGAUUAGCUAGUUGGUGAGGUAACGGCUCACCAAGGCCACGAUCCGUAGCUGGUCUGAGAGGAUGAUCAGCCACAUCGGGACUGAGACACGGCCCGAACUCCUACGGGAGGCAGCAGUGGGGAAUAUUGGACAAUGGGGGAAACCCUGAUCCAGCCAUGCCGCGUGUGUGAAGAAGGCCCUCGGGUUGUAAAGCACUUUCAGCGAGGAAGAACGCCUAGCGGUUAAUACCCGCUAGGAAAGACAUCACUCGCAGAAGAAGCACCGGCUAACUCCGUGCCAGCAGCCGCGGUAAUACGGAGGGUGCAAGCGUUAAUCGGAAUUACUGGGCGUAAAGCGCGCGUAGGUGGCUUGAUAAGCCGGUUGUGAAAGCCCCGGGCUCAACCUGGGAACGGCAUCCGGAACUGUCAAGCUAGAGUGCAGGAGAGGAAGGUAGAAUUCCCGGUGUAGCGGUGAAAUGCGUAGAGAUCGGGAGGAAUACCAGUGGCGAAGGCGGCCUUCUGGACUGACACUGACACUGACGUGCGAAAGCGUGGGUAGCAAACAGGAUUAGAU
RNAcentral lists this ribosomal RNA (729 nucleotides) under uncultured bacterium. RNAcentral's name for it is "bacterial SSU rRNA". It matches the Rfam family "Bacterial small subunit ribosomal RNA", at positions 56 to 783 of the family's 1533-position model. The record is from RNAcentral.